This is an RNA transcript of Fragaria vesca subsp. vesca, 1767 nucleotides long. It is a transcript of the gene named cytochrome P450 71A4-like, with no coding region annotated. The transcript has 2 exons. The record is from RefSeq and is a predicted model, not a curated record. NCBI's taxonomy places the organism in Eukaryota, Viridiplantae, Streptophyta, Magnoliopsida, Rosales, Rosaceae.
ACCCUAAGAGAAGCACAAACAUCUUCUCUUCCUAGCAUAAACGCAGAAGAAAAUGUUCAAGGAAACCUUUCACUUGUUGCAAUCUUUUAAUUCUUUGACAUUAGGGCUUCUAGCCAUCUUCCUCAUUCUCCUAUACAAAUGGUCUUCUAGUAGCACAAGAAGCUCAUCACCUUCUCCACCAAAGCUCCCCAUCAUCGGAAACCUUCACCAACUAGGGUUACACCCUCACCGCUCACUUCAAGCAUUGUCUCAAAUCCAUGGCAAUGUCAUGCUCCUCCGUUUUGGGAGUGUUCCUGUCCUCGUCGUCUCCUCGUCUGAGGCUGCCAGUGAAAUCAUGAAAACCCAAGACCUAGCAUUCUCGGACCGCCCCAAGUCGACCAUCUUCCAGAAGCUUCUGUACAACUACAAUGACGUCUCAACCGCACCUUAUGGUGAGUACUGGAGGCAGGUGAAGGGCAUAUGCGUUUCUCAUCUCCUCAGCAACAAAAGGGUGCAUUCCUUUCGUACUGUUAGAGAAGAGGAAACAAGAAUCAUGAUGAAGAAGAUAGAGGAGUCCAUGUCAUCCUCAGGAGUUGUGAAUUUAACCAAUAGGUUUAUCACUCUCACGAACGAUGUCAUCUGUACGAUAGCUCUGGGGAGAAAAUACAGUGGUGGAGAAGGUGGAAAGAUUUUUAAUGAGAUUUUGGGGGAGUUUAUGGAGUUACUGGGACGUUCUUAUAUUGGGGACUAUAUUCCAUGGCUUUGCUUGGUUGAGCAGUGUUAAUGGUUUAGAUGCCAAAUUAGACAAGGUCGCUAAAAGGUUUGAUGAGUUUCGGGAUGGGAUUAUUCAAGAGCAUAUAAAUCGUAGUCCAAAGAAUGGAAAAAGUGAUCAACAUAUUGAUGAACAUAAAGAUUUUGUGGACGUUUUGCUUUGGAUACAAAAAGAGAACAUGGCUGGUUUUCCUGUUGGAAGAGUCAGCAUAAAGGCUCUCAUCUUGGAUAUGUUUACCGCUGGCACGGAUACAUAUACAAUCAUAGAUUGGGCGAUGUCCGAACUUUUAAGGAAUCCAAGGGUCAUGAAAAAAUUGCAGAAUGAGGUGAGGGGAAUAGUUGUAAACAAAAGAGAGAUAACAGAAGAUGAUCUGGUUGGAAUGCAUUACUUGCAGGCAGUGAUGAAGGAGACUCUUCGCUUACACCCUCCUGUUCCAUUACUAAUGCCUAGAAAGGCAACCCAAGAUGUGAAGGUACAAGGUUAUGACAUCAAAGCCAAUACAGUGGUUAUAGUCAAUGCAUGGCAAAUUGGGAGAGAUCCUAAAUCGUAUGACAAUCCAGAAGAGUUCGAGCCAGAAAGAUUUUUGAUCACUAAUAGUGAUACAGAUUACAAAGGAAAGGACUUCCAGUUGAUCCCAUUUGGAGCUGGAAGGAGGGGUUGCCCCGGAAUCAAUUUUGCCAUGGCUGUUAAUGAGAUUGCUUUGGCAAACUUGGUGCACAAGUUCGACUGGUCACUGCCCGAUGGAGUAAAACCUAGGGAUUUAGACAUGACUGAAUCUUGCGGCUUAACCAAACGUAGAAAAUACCCUCUUAAAGCCAUUGCUGUUUCUCAUUCAGCUGAUUAACUGCUCAGAUCGAUCGCUCAAUGGGACAAUGGCUUUCAGCGUUUCUAUAUAAGCCAACUAUAUAUCCAGGCCUGCAUGCAUAUAUGUCGUGGAGAAACCUAUAUUAAGUUUGAAUAUCUGUAUGCAAAUCAACAUGUAUCAAUUUGGGUCUACCCAAAUUUCGUUUCGCUAA